CAUCUAUACUGUGAAACUGCGAAUGGCUCAUUAAAUCAGUUAUCGUUUAUUUGAUAGUACCUUACUACUUGGAUAACCGUGGUAAUUCUAGAGCUAAUACAUGCUAAAAAACCCGACUUCGGGAGGGUUGUAUUUAUUAGAUAAAAAACCAAUGCCCUUCGGGGCUCCUUGGUGAUUCAUGAUAACUUAACGAAUCGCAUGGCCUUGCGCCGGCGAUGGUUCAUUCAAAUUUCUGCCCUAUCAACUUUCGAUGGUAAGAUAGAGGCUUACCAUGGUAUCAACGGGUAACGGGGAAUUAGGGUUCUAUUCCGGAGAGGGAGCCUGAGAAACGGCUACCACAUCCAAGGAAGGCAGCAGGCGCGCAAAUUACCCAAUCCCGACACGGGGAGGUAGUGACAAUAAAUACUGAUACAGGGCUCUUUUGGGUCUUGUAAUUGGAAUGAGUACAAUUUAAAUACCUUAACGAGGAACAAUUGGAGGGCAAGUCUGGUGCCAGCAGCCGCGGUAAUUCCAGCUCCAAUAGCGUAUAUUAAAGUUGUUGCAGUUAAAAAGCUCGUAGUUGAACCUUGGGCCUGGCUGGUCGGUCUGCCUCACCGCAUGUACUGAUUCGGCCGGGCCUUUCCUCCUGGGGAGCCGCAUGCCCUUCACUGGGUGUGUCGGGGAACCAGGACUUUUACUUUGAAAAAAUUAGAGUGUUCAAAGCAGGCCUUUGCUCGAAUACAUUAGCAUGGAAUAAUAGAAUAGGACGUGUGGUUCUAUUUUGUUGGUUUCUAGAACCGCCGUAAUGAUUAAUAGGAACAGUCGGGGGCGUCAGUAUUCAGUAGUCAGAGGUGAAAUUCUUGGAUUUACUGAAGACUAACUACUGCGAAAGCAUUCGCCAAGGAUGUUUUCAUUAAUCAGUGAACGAAAGUUAGGGGAUCGAAGACGAUCAGAUACCGUCGUAGUCUUAACCGUAAACUAUGCCGACUAGGGAUAGGGCGAUGUUAUUCUUUUGACUCGCUCAGCACCUUACGAGAAAUCAAAGUCU
This 1027-nucleotide ribosomal RNA is filed under the name Eutiarosporella dactylidis. RNAcentral's name for it is "SSU rRNA". It matches the Rfam family "Eukaryotic small subunit ribosomal RNA", at positions 71 to 1106 of the family's 1831-position model. The record is from RNAcentral. Lineage: Eukaryota; Fungi; Ascomycota; Dothideomycetes; Botryosphaeriales; Botryosphaeriaceae.